RNAcentral lists this ribosomal RNA (1517 nucleotides) under Chryseobacterium defluvii. RNAcentral describes it as "bacterial SSU rRNA". It matches the Rfam family "Bacterial small subunit ribosomal RNA". The record is from RNAcentral. Lineage: Bacteria; Pseudomonadati; Bacteroidota; Flavobacteriia; Flavobacteriales; Weeksellaceae.
ACAAUGGAGAGUUUGAUCCUGGCUCAGGAUGAACGCUAGCGGGAGGCCUAACACAUGCAAGCCGAGCGGUAGAUUGUCUUCGGACAAUUGAGAGCGGCGUACGGGUGCGGAACACGUGUGCAACCUGCCUUUAUCAGGGGGAUAGCCUUUCGAAAGGAAGAUUAAUACCCCAUAAUAUAUGUCAAGGCAUCUUGAUAUAUUGAAAACUACGGUGGAUAAAGAUGGGCACGCGCAAGAUUAGAUAGUUGGUGAGGUAACGGCUCACCAAGUCAAUGAUCUUUAGGGGGCCUGAGAGGGUGAUCCCCCACACUGGUACUGAGACACGGACCAGACUCCUACGGGAGGCAGCAGUGAGGAAUAUUGGACAAUGGGUGGAAGCCUGAUCCAGCCAUCCCGCGUGAAGGAUGACGGCCCUAUGGGUUGUAAACUUCUUUUGUACAGGGAUAAACCUAUUUACGUGUAAAUAGCUGAAGGUACUGUACGAAUAAGCACCGGCUAACUCCGUGCCAGCAGCCGCGGUAAUACGGAGGGUGCAAGCGUUAUCCGGAUUUAUUGGGUUUAAAGGGUCCGUAGGCGGAUCAGUAAGUCAGUGGUGAAAUCUCAUAGCUUAACUAUGAAACUGCCAUUGAUACUGCUGGUCUUGAGUAAGGUAGAAGUAGCUGGAAUAAGUAGUGUAGCGGUGAAAUGCAUAGAUAUUACUUAGAACACCAAUUGCGAAGGCAGGUUACUAUGUCUUAACUGACGCUGAUGGACGAAAGCGUGGGGAGCGAACAGGAUUAGAUACCCUGGUAGUCCACGCUGUAAACGAUGCUAACUCGUUUUUGGGUUUUCGGAUUCAGAGACUAAGCGAAAGUGAUAAGUUAGCCACCUGGGGAGUACGAACGCAAGUUUGAAACUCAAAGGAAUUGACGGGGGCCCGCACAAGCGGUGGAUUAUGUGGUUUAAUUCGAUGAUACGCGAGGAACCUUACCAAGGCUUAAAUGGGAAUUGAUCGGUUUAGAAAUAGACCUUCCUUCGGGCAAUUUUCAAGGUGCUGCAUGGUUGUCGUCAGCUCGUGCCGUGAGGUGUUAGGUUAAGUCCUGCAACGAGCGCAACCCCUGUCACUAGUUGCCAUCAUUAAGUUGGGGACUCUAGUGAGACUGCCUACGCAAGUAGAGAGGAAGGUGGGGAUGACGUCAAAUCAUCACGGCCCUUACGCCUUGGGCCACACACGUAAUACAAUGGCCGGUACAGAGGGCAGCUACACAGCGAUGUGAUGCGAAUCUCGAAAGCCGGUCUCAGUUCGGAUUGGAGUCUGCAACUCGACUCUAUGAAGCUGGAAUCGCUAGUAAUCGCGCAUCAGCCAUGGCGCGGUGAAUACGUUCCCGGGCCUUGUACACACCGCCCGUCAAGCCAUGGAAGUCUGGGGUACCUGAAGUCGGUGACCGUAAAAGGAGCUGCCUAGGGUAAAACAGGUAACUAGGGCUAAGUCGUAACAAGGUAGCCGUACCGGAAGGUGCGGCUGGAACAUCUCAUUU